This 497-nucleotide ribosomal RNA is filed under the name uncultured bacterium. RNAcentral describes it as "partial 16S ribosomal RNA". It matches the Rfam family "Bacterial small subunit ribosomal RNA", at positions 28 to 507 of the family's 1533-position model. The record is from RNAcentral.
GAUGAACGCUGGCGGCGUGCCUAAUACAUGCAAGUCGAGCGAACAGACGAGGAGCUUGCUCCUUUGAUGUUAGCGGCGGACGGGUGAGUAACACGUAGGUAACCUACCUAUAAGACUGGGAUAACUUCGGGAAACCGGAGCUAAUACCGGAUAAUAUUUCGAACCGCAUGGUUCGAUAGUGAAAGAUGGCUUUGCUAUCACUUAUAGAUGGACCUGCGCCGUAUUAGCUAGUUGGUAAGGUAACGGCUUACCAAGGCAACGAUACGUAGCCGACCUGAGAGGGUGAUCGGCCACUCUGGAACUGAGACACGGUCCAGACUCCUACGGGAGGCAGCAGUAGGGAAUCUUCCGCAAUGGGCGAAAGCCUGACGGAGCAACGCCGCGUGAGUGAUGAAGGUCUUCGGAUCGUAAAACUCUGUUAUUAGGGAAGAACAAACGUGUAAGUAACUGUGCACGUCUUGACGGUACCUAAUCAGAAAGCCACGGCUAACUACGUG